Molecule: ribosomal RNA, 468 nt
Filed under: uncultured bacterium
Lineage: Bacteria
Description: partial 16S ribosomal RNA
Rfam family: Bacterial small subunit ribosomal RNA
Source: RNAcentral
GACGAACGCUGGCGGUGUGCUUAACACAUGCGAGUCGAACGGAAAGGCCCUGCUUUUGUGGGGUGCUCGAGUGGCGAACGGGUGAGUAACACGUGAGUAACCUGCCCUUGACUUUGGGAUAACUUCAGGAAACUGGGGCUAAUACCGGAUAGGAGCUCCUGCUGCAUGGUGGGGGUUGGAAAGUUUCGGCGGUUGGGGAUGGACUCGCGGCUUAUCAGCUUGUUGGUGGGGUAGUGGCUUACCAAGGCUUUGACGGGUAGCCGGCCUGAGAGGGUGACCGGCCACAUUGGGACUGAGAUACGGCCCAGACUCCUACGGGAGGCAGCAGUGGGGAAUAUUGCACAAUGGGCGGAAGCCUGAUGCAGCAACGCCGCGUGCGGGAUGACGGCCUUCGGGUUGUAAACCGCUUUCGCCUGUGACGAAGCGUGAGUGACGGUAAUGGGUAAAGAAGCACCGGCUAACUACGUG